RNAcentral lists this ribosomal RNA (465 nucleotides) under uncultured Klebsiella sp. Its description in RNAcentral is "bacterial SSU rRNA". It matches the Rfam family "Bacterial small subunit ribosomal RNA", at positions 338 to 795 of the family's 1533-position model. The record is from RNAcentral. Lineage: Bacteria; Pseudomonadati; Pseudomonadota; Gammaproteobacteria; Enterobacterales; Enterobacteriaceae.
CCUACGGGCGGCUGCAGUGGGGAAUAUUGCACAAUGGGCGCAAGCCUGAUGCAGCCAUGCCGCGUGUGUGAAGAAGGCCUUCGGGUUGUAAAGCACUUUCAGCGGGGAGGAAGGCGUUAAGGUUAAUAACCUUGGCGAUUGACGUUACCCGCAGAAGAAGCACCGGCUAACUCCGUGCCAGCAGCCGCGGUAAUACGGAGGGUGCAAGCGUUAAUCGGAAUUACUGGGCGUAAAGCGCACGCAGGCGGUCUGUCAAGUCGGAUGUGAAAUCCCCGGGUUCAACCUGGGAACUGCAUUCGAAACUGGCAGGCUAGAGUCUUGUAGAGGGGGGUAGAAUUCCAGGUGUAGCGGUGAAAUGCGUAGAGAUCUGGAGGAAUACCGGUGGCGAAGGCGGCCCCCUGGACAAAGACUGACGCUCAGGUGCGAAAGCGUGGGGAGCAAACAGGAUUAGAUACCCUUGUAGUC